UUGCAUAAAGAUCACUUCUCCACAGUCAUAAUUGCAAAACUUAAAUCAAGAGGACUUUUAUUGGACGUAAUGAGGUUUAGGGAGAGGGUUAUUGAAAUGAAAGAAUAGGUAAACACAAGUUCCAAGCUACAUUGCAAGCAAUUCUUUUGUUUAGAUUUAUAAGAACUCAAUAUUUCCAGCGAUUCUUCUAGCACCUCCAACCACACCCUUAAACUGAAACUUUAAAAACUUUUUAUUUUCUUUGUAUACAAAUUUUUUUUUCUUUAAAUACAAACAUGAAAUACCCCCACACUUAUUCUUUUGCCAAACACCUUCAAAGUACUUCACAAACAUUUCUCAUAAGACAAUCUCACAUUGCUCACUAGCUUGCUUGGAAAGGGUAAAGAAGAAUGUUUCAGGUAUAAGGGUAGACAUAUCUGGUGGUAAGAAAUAAAAGGCUCAACAUACACAGCUCAAAUUGGCAAUCUAAUGAUAUCAUUUUUAUUUGGGAAACAUGGUUAUUUGGGCUAUAGUGGUAAACCUAAUGCCUCUAUCAUUUCCAAGUUCAUGCAAUCAAUGACAAACAUUUCGAAAGAUCGUUACGCAAGUUCUAGAGAUGUAUCUCACAUAAGUUCAUCACACAUGAAAGAAUAGGAGUGUAUAAAAAAUGCACACACUUUCAAUAGGCUCAAAAACUCACAUAGGAUGUAUAUGGUCACUAAAUUCACAUAUGACGCUUUAAUUCAUACUUUAGUUUCACAUUAACAAGGCUAUGUGCAUUUGGUUUUUCAAAGAUGGUCAAACAUGUACAAAACUAACAAGAGAAUAAGGAAUUUCACAAAACACAUGUUAACUAAGUUCUUGAUGAUCAUGGUUCGAAUUUGAUCCAAUUAUAUCAUUGGGUCGGGAAACUAACAAAAAUCUAAUUCAAAACAAUAAGGGAAACAAGACAAUAUUUUUGGAUUUUUAAAUUUCCGAUUUUUUUUAUUUUUUAUUUUUAAAGAAAACAAAAAGCAACAACACAGAAACAAAUGAAAUUCUAGAGAUUUCUACCCCCACACUUAAACUUGACAUUGUCCCCAAUGUCAGAAAACACUAUAACGCAAAUAAAAAUAAAAUAAAAUAAAUAAAUAAUAAGAAACAAAAUAAAGCAAUUGGACUAAAAACUUCCCUAAUUUGCAGUAAAAUCAAGCGAUGACCCCCAAGCUAAAAUUCUGCAAUCAACUUCAAGGGUGGAAAUAACCAAAAGUUCCUGCAAAGAAAAGAAAUAAUUCAGUUAAGUAACGCAAGAAAAUAAAAUAAUAAUAAAAAAUAAAUAAAAAAAAUUGCAAACGAAAAAUUGAAAAUCACGAUAAAAGACAAUGAAUAGAACUAAUAAGUAAUCAUUGGUCGUGUUUGUUGACUUUCCACAGCUUUCCUCUUGAACGGGGUGACACUUAGCUUUUUACUUGCAAGUGAUGAUUUGAUG
Molecule: long non-coding RNA, 1447 nt
Filed under: Malus domestica (apple)
Lineage: Eukaryota; Viridiplantae; Streptophyta; Magnoliopsida; Rosales; Rosaceae
Description: long non-coding RNA (MDOM_LNC010221)
Source: RNAcentral